Molecule: ribosomal RNA, 274 nt
Filed under: uncultured bacterium
Lineage: Bacteria
Description: partial 16S ribosomal RNA
Rfam family: Bacterial small subunit ribosomal RNA
Source: RNAcentral
AUACGGAGGGUGCAAGCGUUACUCGGAAUCACUGGGCGUAAAGCGCGCGCAGGCGGCCUGAUAAGUUGGAUGUGAAAGCCUACGGCUCAACCGUAGAACUGCAUCCAGAACUGUCAGGCUAGAGUGUGGGAGAGGAAGAUGGAAUUAGUUGUGUAGGGGUAAAAUCCGUAGAGAUAACUAGGAAUACCAAAAGCGAAGGCAAUCUUCUGGAACACUACUGACGCUGAGGCGCGAAGGCGUGGGGAGCAAACAGGAUUAGAAACCCGGGUAGUCC